This is a non-coding RNA of Salmo salar (Atlantic salmon), 54 nucleotides long. The record is from Rfam. NCBI's taxonomy places the organism in Eukaryota, Metazoa, Chordata, Actinopteri, Salmoniformes, Salmonidae.
UGCACUCACAGUGGUAAGUCGCUCUGGAUAAGAGCAUCUGCUAAAUGACUAAAA